CUGCAACGCAAGUUUCCGAUGACUGUAAUCAUCAACAAAUUUUAAGUUUAGUGGUAAUUUCAUGCAAGACUACGCAGAUUAAAUUACUUGAUGAAUUCGCUUCUUGAUUUCUUUAACUUGCAUGAGAGGAUUAGAUCACAGCAUGGACGCAGAAAGUGAGGAUCACACUGGAAAAAUAAUUUAUAAAUUAAUAAAUACUAUCCCGACAUAUAAUUUUAUACGAUGAUAUUUACUUCAUGAUUAUAUUGAGCACAAUGAUUGGAAGACUCAUUGGUGAUUCCAUUUGCUUCACUAAUACACAAUAUUAGUGAUAUUACAACACCACUUAAGAUGUAAAUGAAGUUAUGGUGAACUAACCAGCAACGCCAUCUUUAUUAGAAUUAUAA
Long non-coding RNA from Cotesia glomerata, 386 nucleotides. RefSeq lists it as uncharacterized. NCBI's taxonomy places the organism in Eukaryota, Metazoa, Arthropoda, Insecta, Hymenoptera, Braconidae. The transcript has 3 exons. The record is from RefSeq and is a predicted model, not a curated record.